CCGAUGAAGCUGGCUGUCGGACGGUGACAUUGGUGGCGCAACCUGUCGCGUUAAGUACGCAUAGGCCACGCUGUUUCCGCAGGGAAAAGUUUAUUAAGGUUUCAUUAAUAUCGCAGCCGGAGUUUACUUCUAUUGCAUAUACUCUUAGUGCAUUAGCACUUUCACUGGUGAUGAUAAUCGGUGGUUUAGGUUUGUUCUUGGAGCCAGCUGGCCUUCCGCGAGGGCGGCGGAGGGAUUCUCCCUCUGGCGUGCGCUGUAGCGCCACCAGCAAAUUACCUUUUGCAUCAACUCCGUGGCCACUUCCGCCAUCUACUUCUGCAACACCAGCCAUUUCUUCACACUGGAAGAAUCACCAAAUAUGUGUUUAAGUAGGCAAAUUGUGAAGACAAAUUUAUGUAAGAGAAGGAAAAAAAUUAAAUUUUGUUGAUUAGAAGAUGAUUAAGUAAUACUUUUAUAGCCAUGUAAUUUAUACUUGUGCUCCCUUUCCUAACUUUCAACAAAUUUUUCUUUCAUGUUAAUUGCCUUCCCCAACAAAACCCAUGUCUCCAUUAAUUAUACUUCAUUUGAACCAAAGCCAUGUUUAAUGCACAGCUUCGAGAGAUCUCAAAUUUUUCAUUCAAUAAUUAGCCCAAAAAAAAAUAAAAAAAAAAAAAAAAAAAUAAUAAUAAUAAGGGAAGAAGAAGAAGAAAGAAAAAGCUAUAACUUGAAUUUUGUUUAUAGUAGAACUAGAAAGGAAGAAACGUAGACCCUAUUUAGUUUAAUUAAAAAUCAGAUUUUUAGCCCCUGUUUGCCAGAUAUUAAAUUCAAAUUUUAAUUUAAGUUAAAAUCAAUAAUUAAUUUUCACCAUACAUUUGAUGAGACCUCAUAGCUUUCAAUCAUACAUUUCAUCAACUUUUAUCAAAAUUUUCUAAAAAUCUAAUUUUAAUCCUCAUCAAACAACGACUUAGUAAAUUUUGAUAAAAAUUGAUAGUAUGUGUAUUAGCCCCGUUUGGCCCCCAUUUUUUUUUUCCAAAUUUUAAUAGUUAGAAUAUUGUUUUUUUCUUAAAUGUGUAAUUGAAAAAGAAUGAAAAGUUUUUGAUUUACGUGUAAUAUUAUUUUAUGAAAGAUUGUGUGGUUGCAAAUAAUAGAGAGAAAAAGAAUGAAAAUGAGAAUGGGGACCUAACGGGGCAUUAGAAAGGUUGAUAAAAAUAGUGAUCAAAGAAGGCCUAAUCUAGUAUUGUACAAUUACAACGAAUGAAACUUAAAUUUAGUUUUCCAUCUUUUUUAAUUAUAAUUGCUAUUCAAUCCAACCAACUAAAAUAUACAUCGAAUGUUUUGCAAGGGAUAUGAUAUGAAGUAUUGAUCACUACAAAAAAUGAACACAAAGACAAGAAUUUAAUCUGACAUAGAAAUUGGAGAUUUUAUUCAAUUGUAAUGGAUAAAAAAUUACAACAAGUUUGUUUCUCACAAUUAUUCUAAUUUUUGUAUUAAAUCAUCCUGUAAAGAGGAGCCAACUAUAUAAAAGGGAACACAUCAAAACCUUAACAAUAUUCUUAAAGAUGAAAAUAAUAUAAAAAAAAAUUGUAGAAUAAAAGAAACAAUGUUUUCCAAAAAAAUGCUUGGAAUAAAGUAAAUAAUAUUUUCUAGAAAAAAAUCCAACUAAAUUUGGGUUACAAACCCAAUAAUCUCAACUUUAACACGAAUUUCACUGCAACGAACAAAACUUCAAAAUUUCUCCACCUCGAGAAAAAAAUCAAUUGCAAGGAAUGAAUUGAACUCUUCAACAAGAACGAAACUAACUUCUUCAACGAACCAAAAAUUUUCCACUUCUUCCAUGAUAUCCAACUAAAAUAAAUGAAUCCAAGCACUGCUACAUAGAAUUACCUCGAAUUCAAAAUUACAAAUGAUUUAAAAUUUAUCAAAUAGGGACAAAACACACCUUGAAACAUAAUCAACACCAAAUGCUUCUGUAGAAGGCCCCUUGCUAGACUCAACACCUUUAAAUGCACUUAAAGCAUGAGCAACAAAAUCAAUAUCAACAUACCUAUCUUCUCUGAUUUUGUCCCUAGCAAUUGAAUGCGAUGGCAUCGCAGGUGGUGAUAAAGCUACAUUACCCAUAUCAUUCGAACUCAAGUGAGUUGUAUUCUUCAACAUGGAACCUAAACUAAAUCCCAAUAGUACUGUACCAUAUUGAAUAUCCAAUACGGUACUAAGCCUUUUGCUGAUUGUUCUUCACAGAUUAUGCACAACCUUGCAAGACGUACAACUUGGACUUUUUCGCUUCUCUAAUAUAACAUGAACAUCUUUGCAAACCUUCAAAGCUUCACAUCCACCAAACAGCUUGUACCUUUUUGAAUCAAGAAUACUCAAUGAGAUGACAUUUUUUAUCAAAUUUGAAACAUGUAGAAUAUAAUCAAGUUUUCUAAUUGUACCAUCCACCAGCUUAAGUAUAACUCUAUCAAUACCAGCCACCCAACAAAGUGCGUUAUUUCCCAUGACCAUGAUACUUGUCAAAACUGUUUCAUAUAUUGAAAACAAAUCUCGGUUAGGAUAUAUAUGAAAGGCACAAGCUGUAUCCAAAAUUCAAUCCUCAUCUAAAUAACUUUUCAUUUUAAACUUUAUAGAAAGUUCCCAACAUGUUGGACCUUUUGUUAUCUAUUCAAGGCCUCCUUUAUAAGGCAUCUAUAUAUGACCCUAUCACUAAUAUGAAUUGAAUCAUUUUGACUAUUAUAAUGUCCAAUUCUAUUUAAUACUGCACCAAAUACGCCAUUCUUGUAUUUAACAGUGACUAAGGCUUGUAGCACACACUUCCAUAUGCGUACCAAGAAUUUGACAUGCAAAACCAAACUUUCACUUCUCAACAUUCUUAUCAUGUUUCAAAAAUAUGAACAUAUAUAUACCAUCGUCCCAAAUGCAUUACAUUAUAUACAUGUAUGUGUAUAAUUUUUUAAUAUAUCUCUAGAUUCUAUAUUCUUGCAACAAAGUAACAAUAAGUAGACAAUGUCAACCAUUCCAAAUCUCUUUUUGGGGGUAUCCACACAAGUGUCAUUGACCAAAUUUAGAACACUUAUGGACGACGAGAAAACUUAGAAUGAGUUAUAUCUCAUGUGCCAUCUUCAUGCUUCAAGUAAUUAUCACACACCAGGUUACAUACUAUCAGAACAAGGUGAUCCAAACUCUGUUUGGACCUGUUUUAUUACAUAUAUAUGAUGUAUGUUAGGUUUCAUCGUAUUAUAUUUGGAGUAGUCGUCAAAGCGUUUAUCUUAUGUACUCACCUUUGAUGUAGUGAAUUUCUCCUCAUCUGACCAUGAUUUUUUCUCGUCUAGAGUUUCAACGUAAAUAUGUGUUCCUAUUAUUAUUUUUAUAGUUUCUACUCUCACUUUUACAUAACAGACACUUUGUUGACAAGAGAAAUUUUAUGAUAGAGAAUAUUGAAUCGAUUCCCAUAAUGUUCUUUGGAUAUAUAGCACAUAAAUUCGCAUGCUAUUCUGGCAUUUGCAUGAUCAGAGUAUAUAUCCAUUCCUAUGCAUAUUGUCAACCUUCUCAACCUAUAUAUACUAAUGCUGCACUUCACCAAUAGACAGAAGAAUUAUAUAUGAGAAAUACAAAAGAGUGUAAUAAUUGCAUGAAUAGGAUGAGAGUACAGUAGAGCCAAGGAUGAAUUGCCGGCAGUGUAACAAUUAGUACCAAGUAGAAUGAUGAUCAAUACAUCAACAUCUUGAAAAAUUAGUCAGUAUUUGGUCGGCAAUUUAUUACUUGGCUACAUUGGGCUCUCUUCUUUUCCUGUAAUGUCAUGCACAUAGCAUAAACACUGUAGAGAAUUAGACAACGGCGUGCCCCCUAUCCUUUCAUUUUCAAAAUUAUUACGAUAAUUGGCACAAAAUCCUCUUGAUCUUUGUCUUUAUCGUGGAAUAACCCCCUAUCUCUACAUUUUAGCGGAAUCUCCCCUAGAUGAACUUUUUCUGUGCGGAAGACCUCCUAUCUUCCAAUUUCGGGAUUUUUUUUGCCCAAAUUAUUAUUGUAAUAUUCCCUAUAUACAUCUCAUUGAUAAUAAGAAAUAAUCUAGUUGCCAGUUACACAAUUUUUUUUCCCGUUUUAUUACUUAGACCAUUCUAUGUAGCGUUUAGUGCGCAAUCAUAACAACCUGAUUAUUGCUAGCUUAUCAAAAAUCCUUUUCAUAGCCACAUUUUCUCUUAUUUAGCAUAACGUUAUUCAAUCUUGGAGGAUCGACGCAGGCUCGGUCCUGAGCCGAGGCUAAUGAGGCCUACGCCUCAGGCCCAAGACCAUAGAGAGCCUAAUUUUGGCCCAAUAAUAUAUAUAUGUAUGUAUGUAUGUAUUUUUUUUAAUCUUAUAACAAUGCCUAUGGGCCCAAAGGGCCAAAAACAAUUAUCCAACAAGCUCACAAUCCAUUUACCUUUCAAAUCUAUUUACCCAACCCAAUUUACAUUUCCAAUAUCCACAAUCUAAUCCAAUUAACCGAAAAUUCCCAAAAUUUGAUUCUGAAAUACAAUAAAAAAUUUCCAAAAUCUGAAAUACUAUAGCCUGGUCGACAUGCUUGUCAAUCGUUACCUCAUUGUCGUCUCCUUUAGGUCAGUGGUUCCCAAAAUCUUUGAGAAGUCGUUCGAAGUCUCAAGUCUACAGCUCUUCUACUCUUGAGUUGCCUCUUCACUUGGACUUGGUAGUUCUGCACCAUACCGUUGGUGGCGAAAAUCUACCAAUCUGGACUAGUGCUACCAACACCCUCUGCUAUUGGCCAACGCCCUCUUUUCCCUCAAUGUUAAUCUUGGCUUCUAGAUUAUUGGGCUACUUCGAUCGAGUCAUUGGGUGGGUAAUUAAGCUUUUUUACCUUGUGCAUCCACUUUUUAUCUCUAAUCUUACUCGUUGUCAUUUUGAGUAUUCAACCUAUUCUAUCUUAAUUUGGUAGUGGUAUAAAAGCUCAUUAUUUGGUAACUUUUUUUUUAAAAAAAAAUCUUUUUUUGGGUUUUGAAUCUUGUGUAUACCAUCACUGUGGAAGGUGGAUCCACAACAUUUUUUCGUAGGGUAAAAUUUAUCUACUGAGCAGUAAAGUUUGAAGAAAUAGAUAAUUUAUAUAACUAUAGUAGGGUGUAAGCAAGUAGCUGAAUUUUUUGCAAAAAAAAGGCUUAAAUAUUGCCAAGACCAAGAAUCUAAGAUCUAGUGAUAAGGGAAUCAAGGUCUUGAUGUCUAAUAAUUCGAUUUAUGUAGCUUUUUACAAUUUUACAGACUUCAACAUGUUUUCAUUUUAUUGUAUUUUCAUAGAUUUUGAAUUUCAUUUCAAAAUAUUCUCUUCACUUAAAAGAGUCGAACAGUCUAUAUAAUAUAAUUUAUUGCAUAAUUCAUUUUUCAUUGAAUUAUUUAUCUUCACUUCACUCGCAAUCUUAUAUAAACUAAAAAGCUUUAAUUCGUAUACUGUCUGUUUUAUUACAUUUCCUUUAUGUAUUAUUGUUUCCUUUAUAUAAGCUAAGGAAACUUUAAAUUUCUUAUAUGUAUAAUAGUUUCUAGAGCAAUAUAUUGUUAAAAGAAUUGUGCUAUUUCCUGUUUAUGUGCCAUUUCUUUAUUACUAGUCUAUGCUACGUGCAAUGUACGAGCUGUGCAUGAAUUAUGGUUUAGUUAGCAUAUAUAUUGAAUAUAUUUGAAAAUUUAUGGGAAGAUGAAAUUAUUGGCAAGGAACUAACUAGCAAAUAAUUGAGAUAAUAGUAUACAUAUUGAUGUGCUUGAUUGUGAUUUGUAAAUUCAUCGUAGUUAAUCAUAUGUUUGGAUUAUAGUCAAUGAUAGAUAAGAGAGAAUAAAAAUAAACUUUAUUACCAUUGUUAAUUACAAAGUAUAGCCAAGAUAAACUAAAUAAUGACUGGUUUUUGGCAUGGACGAUGUAGGGAUUACAUUCCAUAUAUAUAAUUUGUCAUUACUUUUUGUUUGGCAACUUCUGAUCAGGAAAUUACACGUACUUAACAAAAUAAAAUUCCAAGACCAAAUUUACAAAAAAGACAAAUUUCAUAAAACGAAACAGCAUGCUCUUGUCAAGAGGUUGGUUUCACAGAAAAGAUUUCGACCACCAUUUAUUCCAAUUUUUCUUUUUGAGCAAAUGAAUUUGUGUCUGAACUUAUGUUUUCAUCACAAGCCACUUUCAAAUUGGAACUAUCAUUGGAAGAUCUGAAAAGGAUUUUUUUCGUUGGAGGUGACCAAUCUUCUUGAUAGUCUGUAUUAACAUUUUUCCAACUAUUGUAACCACAACUUGACUGUCAACCUUUGUUUGAAAUUUUGGUUCAAGACUUGUAUGGUCAAUAUUUGUUUGGAUUUCUUGUCUUGGACUUGCACAGUCUAAGUCUAUUACAGAGAUGAUAUCAAAUUUGUAACUUGAUGAAUUAGGUUAAUUUUGUGAUGCUUUUAAGUAGGAAGCUUGUUCAGUAUCCUGCAUUUUUUUAAUGAUUACUUCGAAGUUUUUCUUUGAACCCUGUGUGUUAAUUUUAAAUUGUAUUAAUAUUAUUUGAGUAAAAUAUGUAUUGAAUGACAAAAUGUUUGAGUUAGGUUGGAUUUCUUACGAAUUUGAUUUCCUCCAUCAGAGACUGUGAAGUUGUAAAUAAUAGUUUCUCAGCUAGUUCUCCAAUUUCAUUUGCACUGAGUGAUACUGUGACAUCUGAAAGCUGCACAUAUGUUCUAGCCCUAAAGUGAAUAAGAAAUCAGUGUUAGUAAAUGCAAGAGUAAUAAAGGGAAGUAGAAAGGUCAUGCAUAAGUAAAUAUUUUACCUGCACCAAAUGAAGUAAAAAAUGAAAAGUAAUUAAUUGUUAGUAUAUUUUACCGAGGAAUAACUUUGGAAUUGGGAUUCUUGCAAAAGAUACAAAGAUAUGUUUCUCUAAAAUCAACAUUCGAUUAUCUAAUACAGUUGUUGCAGGCCAUGUACCAAGAUUUACUAUCAAUUUUGUCUGUCGUUGCUGUGCGGUUUGUCCAAUAAAACUUUCGCUAUUACCAGUAUGGAUAUACUAAAGAAAUUACGAGGAAAAAUAAAUAAUAUGAUUGAGUCUAUCUUAUAAAAUAUAUAUCUCUAUAUAAGGAAAUAAAUAUAGGCUGAUUGAAUAGCACACGUAACCUUAACAUUACCGAUAGAAGGCGUCCCUGAAAAUUUUGAAUAGGAGUGAAUUUACUUCGCACAAGUGGAGAAAGAUUCGUGGGGCUUUUGUCUAUGUAUGAUUUUUUCAAUACAAAAUCAUCUAUUUUAAUGGAAUUUAUUCUUACCCUAAUCAAAAGACAUGGAGAUAAUUAGUAACUCCAAUAGUAAUGUGUAAAAAAAUAACUGAGAGGAAAGAAAAAAAAAUAAAAUAUAACACUUUGUACAUACCAUUCUGUCAAUUUUUUUACUAUGUUGAAAGGUGUAUCUAUGAAGAAAGUGGAAUGGACGUUCGUGGGCAAUUUUAAACCUAUAUAAUAUCAAUAUGGAGAAUGUGUAAAUGAUGUAACAUAUGCUUUAAGAGGAGUUUAAAUAAUACAAUAGAACAUACCAAAGAAUGAUGUAACUUUUAGACGGGUUGCAAAGAUGACCGACUUUUUAUCAAUAAUGUCUGCUAUGAGUAAGCAUUCUCUGUCAAAAAAUGAAUCCCAAAGUGUAAACAUCAUUGUUUUGAAACUCAUGUCUAAAAGUAUGAUAUCUUGCAACCAAAUUUGGCUACCAUUUUUGGAUUGAAUCAAUCGUUUGAGCGUUGUAUCAACUGCAACUACAAGUAUAUCUGGAAAUUUGAAAUGAGCUAUCAAAUUUUCUUUUUUCUGAACACAAAUAGUACAAAUUUGAAGGAAACUAUAUUUUUGUAGAAUCAGUAUAUGAUUAUUUAAAAUCUAUGAAAUUUUGUCUUACUUAAAUCAGCAUCUGUAUCCAUGUAUUGUUCAACUUCAUGAAACUAUGUCAAUUGAUAUCUUGAGAAUACAAACUCUAGUUUAUCUUCAUUCAGUUCUUCAAUACGAGUUUCUCCAGAUAUUGUCCAUUGUAAAGAGCCAAUCGAAUAUCUGUAGUUUAUCGUAUUGUUCUUCACAUAAGCUUUCGAAAUAGUAUAAGUUUUUCUCAAAACAAGUUGAAUUUCAAAAGCAAUGAUAUUGGAAUCAUAUAAGCUAGUCUGAAUAGUAUUACCCUGAAAAAUGAUGAGGAACCUUAUAAAUAACUAUAAUAUAUGUAAUCUUAGAUUAAGAAAAAAAACAAAACAAAAAACAAAAAGAAAUGAAGAAAAAAUGUAUGAAGAAGAGUUACCCGAGUAUCCAUUAACGUCAAAUGCUGGUACCUUCCAUUGUCUUGUCUCGAAAGUUUUGGUGAUUGUUUUUCAUCUACAAUCACCUUAACUUUCCAUUUUUGAUUGUUGGAAAUAAUUUCUAGUAGAAGCUGGUACUGUUCUUCCAUUGUGGCAAUUUUGCAACAGAAUAAUAGAGGCAAAAUAAACACAAAAGGAAGAUUUCUAUUGCAAACGCUUUUGAGAUAUCCAAUUGACAAAUAAAAGAAGAUAUAUAUAGACAUGUAAAAUUAUAUCAUAUUCGAUUUCUCGUACUUUAUCUUCUAUUCUUAAUUUUAUUUUAUUUAUAAAAAGUAAUACAGCUAUGUACUGCGUAAAAUCUUAUCAUUGCCAUAUACUGUCAUACCUUGUUGUCUGCAUGAGAUAUAGGGAUUACUUGUAAUAUUCAUUUACUAAUAGUACAGAAAUAGCAUGAGUUCAAGGAUUUACACUCAAAGCAAAAUAUGUAAAACUAUAUUUUAUUCGUUCUCCUUAUUAUAAAUUUAAUAAAAUGACAUCAAAAUUUUGACUAAAAAAGAAAAAGGAUCAGGAUGUACACGGUAAAAUCUUAUCAGACCCAUACUCUAUUGAUUCAUAAUGACUGAACAUGGUACAAGAAUGGCUCGAAAUUAAACGAAGUUGUAUUCACCGGGAAAAAGAAUUCAUGCUAUAAACCUUCAUUGUAAUGGAAGGAAAAUUUGAUUUAGUUAUUUAUUUAGCUUAAAUAAUUGAAUUAUAAAUAUCUAAAUACACGUGAAUAUGUUGAUGUAUGAUUUUGUGUAUGAAAUUGAAGAAUUCAAACAAAGAUGUAGAUUUGAGAUUGUAUAAAACGUGUGAAUAGUUUGUACUUCAUAACACAACAAAAAUAUUUCAUUGAAUAUUGACCAAAUGCAUAAAAUAACAAAAAUAUAUAGCUGACAUUUGACACCUUUUUAUCUUGUGGUUGGUAUAUAGCUCAUUUAUUAUUUAUCUAAAAAUUGAGUCCCAUAAGUCUAUACAUUUAGCAAGAGAAACCACCCACAGAUUUAAACAGGAGAAGCUGUGAAAUUGAUCGCAAAAGGUAACAAUUUUACCUAAAAAUUUACAAUGGAAGAAAUUUACACAUAUCUGCACAGAUCUAUGUGUAUGGGUAACAAUUUUACCCAUAAGGCCUUCGUGAUUAUGGAGGCCAUAUGGAGGCUUGGGCCUCCGUAAUACGGAGGCUUGGCCUCCAAGGCCUCUAUAUUAUGGAUAUAGUGGUUCCUAUACUUAAUUUCAUGUCACAAAUUGUCUGGAUUGUCCAGACACGGAGGUAAGAUAUUUUAUUUUCGAUUUUACAAUAUUUAUGCAUGUAUAGGCUAUGAAGAUCUAAUGUUUAUUUCGAACUCUUAAUAAAAGUUUCUUUGUUUUUAAUUAUUAGAUUCAUUCAUAAAUAUGAUAUGAUUUUUUGAAUAAUUUAUACAGAUGUCUCUAGAAUACAUAAUUUUUCCAGACCAAUGGUUUUCUGCUACAAUUAUCUAGUAUCCAGAUUUCGAAUAUAUUAAAGACUUUAUAUAGAUUCGAAUCAGCAAUCUUCGUUGAUAUGCAGUAAUUUUUAUGGAUUUCUUUAUGGAGUUUUCUGCAAAUGAAAAAAUGUACAAUUUAGUAGUAGGUUAGUGUAUGAAUUUAUAUUGAGGCUUGUGAAUUGUGGGAAAAAUGAUGAAAUUUGGGUAAGGUUAGACGAUCGUGUAGCUAAGUUUGGUAUGCAAGAAUUUUAUCUUAUACCUGGAUUACCUUGCCAUGAACUAUCUAUGGACAUUGAUGAUACAAAUGAUCAUCUUAGAAAUCAGUACUUUAAUAAUAAAAAAUAAAUCAGUAUGAGAAUGAUUUUUGAAGCAUUCCAUGCGUGCGAACAUGAAGAAGAUAAAUUGAAGCUUGGUUUAGUUGUGUUGGUCGAAUGUGUGUUAACACUCACUGCAAGACAAAUUGAUUAUAGAACUCUUGACAUGGUUAAGCAUCUAGAUGAGUUUCUUGCAUAUCCAUGGGGUCACAAAGCAUAUUUGAUCUUGUUGUAUUCAUUGAAAGCAUCACAAUUUGAAAGACUGCAAAGGAUGCAACAGAAUGAACAAACAGAAUGCAAGUAUUCAUUACAUGGGUAUCCACUUACAUUCCAAGUAAUUAGUCCAUAUUCUUGUAUUGACUUAUUAUGUAUAAUUUAUUCCCAUAAAAUUUUUUUAUACAUAUAAUAUUUAUUUUUAAUUAUCUUGCAGUAUUGGAUAUAUGAAGCAUUUUCAAAGAUCGAAAAGAAAUUUGAACGUCGUAGACAUAAAACACCACAGAGUCCAAGAAUGUACAAGUGGAAACCCAACCAAUUUGUAACUAAAAAAAGAGAUAAAGGAUUUUUUGUCUACUCUUAAUGUAUGUUUUUAUGAAUGUAGAAUUACUCUCACAUUCAAUUAUCUUAAAAUUAAAUUAAACUCAAAAUAAACGAUUUUGGUAUUUUAUUUUGAUUACAGAUUCAAGUGAUUGCUGUGCUAUAGCCUAAUGAAGAAGAAUUACAAAUUCCUUGGUACAGAACUUUUUCAUUGCCAAUGGACAAUGGACAUAAUAGAUUAGAUAAGAUUGUAAAUGGAGCAUUGGAUAAUGCAAUACAACAAAUCCCAGAUAAUAUAUAUGUGCAAGAAACGACGAUUCCCAGUACUUCUACAUCUUCACCUGUAUUUGGGUCUAGCUCUGUUCCAAAUGGCUCCAACUCCCUAAGUGAAGAUAAAAUGGAAGAAUUGUUGGGUAUCUACAGGCAACACAUAGCAUUAGACGUGUUUGGUGUAUAUAGCAAUUUGAAGGUAGAAUAUGCUGAAAAAUCAAGAGCUCACUACCAUGCGGUUCUUGAAAACCAAAAAUAGUUAUUUGAGGAACAAAAAAAAAAUGGCAAGAAGAUUGCAUGCAACAUCAUUUGACAUUUAAGUAAUUUUUCUAGUAAUUCAUUUCCAAUGCAAACUAAUCUAUUUAUUAAGUAUUUAUUAAAAUUUUAACAUUUAAGUAUUUUUCGACUUGCGGUAAUGGAACUAAAAAUUGUUUGUUUAGAUAGUCUGGGAACUCAAUCAAUUGAAUUGCACGUAUGAUUUUCCACAAAUAAAUGUCCAAAAAUUUAUUUCAAGAGAAUAUGAUAUCUUGAUGUAACAUAUAACGGUUAUAUUUUCUCAUUUUUAUGAUCAAAGAAUGAAAAACAAACGGUAGUUAAAUAUAUUUUUAAUUUUCAAUUUUUGAUUAAAUAAAAUUGAAAUUUUCAAUAAUAUCAAAGAGAACCGUACGUUAAUGUUGAAGAGAACCGCACGUUCGGUUUUUUUUUCUCUUUUUUUUAAAACACAUUUAUGGUCAAAGAAUGGAAAACAAACGGUGGUUAAAUAUAUUUGUAAUUUUUCAUUUUUGAUUAAAUAAAAUUGAAAUUUUCAAAAAUAACAAAGAGAACCGCACGUAUGGUUCUCUUUUUUCCUGUUUUUUCAAACAUAAUUUUCCGCUUAAAAUUUUCUAAUAAUUCAUUUCCAAUGUAAGCUAAUUUAUUUAUUAAGUAUUUAUUAAAAUUUUAACAUUUAAGUAUUUUUCGACUUGCGGUCAUGUAAAUAAGAAUUAUUUAUUUAGAUAGUCUGGGAACUCAAUCAAUUCAAUCGCACGUACGGCUAACCCAUAUUCACUUUUCCACAAAUAAUGUCCAAAUAUUUAUUUCAAGAGAAUAUGAUGUCUAGAUGUAAUAUAUAACGAUUAUAUUUUUUCAUUUUUAUGGCCAAAGAAUAGAAAACAAAUGGUGGUUAAAUAUAUUUUUUAAUUUUUCAUUUUUGAUUAAAUAAAAUUGAAAUUUUCAAAAAUAUCAAAGAGAACCGCACGUAGAGUUCUCUAUUUUCCAUUUUUCUUUAUUUUAAAAUGUUAACGAGAAUCGCACGUAGGAUUCUCUUUUUUUCCAUUAUUUUUUAAACACAUUUUUCCGUUGAUAAAUUUCUAAUAAUUCAUUUCCAAUGCAAACUAAUUUAUUUAUUAAAAUUUUAACAUUUAAGUAUUUUUCGACUUGCGGUAAUGAAAUUAAGAAUUAUUUAUUUAGAUAGUCUGGGAACUCAAUCAAUUGAAUUGCACGUACGGUUAACCCAUAUUCAUUUUUUCACAAAUAAAUGUCCAAAAAUUUAUUUCAAGAGAAUACGAUGUCUUGAUAUAAUAUAAAACGAUUAUAUUUUUUUUCAUUUUUAUGAUCAAAGAAUGGAAAACAAACGGUGGUUAAACAUAUUUGUAAUUUUUUAUUUUUGAUUAAAUAAUAUUGAAAUUUUCAAAAAUAUCAAAGAGAACCGCACGUAGGGUUCUUUAUUUUUCAUUUUACUUUAUUUUAAAAUGUUAACGAGAACCACAUGUAGGGUUCUCUUUUUUCCAUUUUUUUUCAAACACAUUUUUUUGCUGAUAAAUUUCUAAUAAUUCAUUUCCAAUGCAAACUAAUUUAUUUAUUAAGUAUUUAUUAAAAUUUUAACAUUUAAGUAUUUUUCGACUUGCGGUCAUGAAAAUAAGCAUUGUUUAUUUAGAUAGUUUGGGAACUCUAUCAAUUGGAUCGCACGUAUGGUUAAUUCAUAUUCAUUUUUUCACAAAUAAAUUUCCAAAAAUUUAUUUCAAGAGAAUAUGAUGUCUUGAUGUAACAUAUAACGGUUAUAUUUUUUCAUUUUUAUAGUCAAAGAAUGAAAAACAAACGGUGGUUAAAUAUAUUUGUAAUUUUCCAUUUUUGAUUAAAUAAAAUUGAAAAUUUCAAAAAUAUCAAAGAGAACCGCACGUAGGGUUCUCUUUUUUUCAUUUUUUUUCAAACACAUUUUUUCACGGAUAAAUUUCUAAUAAUUCAUUUCCGGUGCAAACUAAUUUAUUUAUUAAGUAAUUAUUAAAAUUUUAACAUUUAAGUAUUUUUCGAUUUGCGGUUAUGGAAAUAAAAAUUGUUUAUUUAGAUAGUCUGGGAACUCAAUCAAUUGAAUUGCACGUACGGUUAACCCAUAUUCAUUUUUCCACAAAUAAAUGUCUAAAAAUUUAUUUCAAGAGAUUUUGAUGUCUUGAUGUAACCUAUAAUUGUUGUAUUUUUUCAUUUUUAUGGUCAAAGAAUGGCAAACAAACGGUGGUUAAAUAUAUUUGUAAUUUUCCAUUUUUGGUUAAAUAAAAUUGAAAAUUUCAAAAAUAUCAAAGAGAACCGCACGUAGGGUUCUCUUUUUUCCAUUUUCUUUCAAACACAUUUUUCCGCUGUUAAAUUUCUAAUAAUUCAUUUCCAAUGCAGACUAAUUUAUUUAUUAAGUAUUUAUUAAAAUUUUAACAUUUAAGUAUUUUUCGACUUGCGGUCAUGAAAAUAACAAUUGUUUAAUUAGAUAGUCUGGGAACUCAAUCAAUUGAAUUGCACGUACGAUUGACCCAUAUACAUUUUUCCACAAAUAAAUGUCCAAAAAUUUAUUUCAAAAAAAUAUGAUAUCUUGAUGUAACAUAUAUCGGUUAUAUUUUUUCAUUUUUAUGGUCAAAGAAUGGAAAACAAAUGGUGGUUAAAUAUAUUUGUAAUUUUCUAUUUUUGAUUAAAUAAAAUUGAAAAUUUCAAAGAUAUCAAAGAGAACCGCACGUAUAGUUCUCUCUUUUCCAUUUCUUUAUAAGGACCAGAUCGUUGAUUCGAAAUGACCACUUCUUCAACUUUGAGUUGAAGUACUUCAUCAUCUUUCUUUCAUAUGUGGCAAGCUUCAGCUGAGUGUCAUCUCUUCUUUCCUCAAUGAUGUCGAGGUCGUACCUCCGAAGCUCGUCGUUUGUUAUUUCACUGAAGUGCAGAUGUUGUGGAGAUGGAAGUCCGAUCUCGACGGGGCUUAUCGCCUCAGUUCUGUAUGCCAUGAGGAAAGGUGUUUCCCUUGUGGAAGUCGUCGUAGUGGUUCGGAUUGUCCAAAGCGGUUGUGGUAGCUCAUCCACCUAGGCCCCUUUUGACACAUCAAGCUGCCUUUUCAGGACGUGUUUGAUGGUCUUUUUCACAGCCUCAAUCUGGCCAUUUGCUUGUGGGUGGUGAGGUGUGGAGAAGUGCUUCUUGAUGUCAAGUUCUUCAUACAAACUUCUGACCUUCUUGUUGUCGAACUGUUUACCAUUGUCUGAGAUGAUUGAGUAGGGAAUCCCGAACUAGCAUAUAAUGUUCUUCCACAAGAACUUGGAAGUGUUUGAUUUUGCGAUUUUUCCCAAUGGUUCAGCCUCAACCCACUUCGUGGAGUAAUCAAUGGCCAUUAAUGUAAAGUUCGCGCUUCAUCUGCCUUUCGGUAGAGGACCUAUGAGGUCCACACCCCACUUCAAGAAGGGCCAGGGGUUGGAGACCGUGGUCAAAUCUUGUGAUAGUUGUCUUUCGAAAGGAGAGAAUCGUUAGCAUUUGUCACAUUUUCGUACAAAUUGGAGAGCGUCAUUUUUCAAGGUAGGCCAAUAGUACCACUGUCUCAGUAUUUUUUGCGCUAAAGAUAGACCUCCAGAGUGAUUACCAUAAACACCCUUGUGGUCUUCCCUUAAAAUGUUGGUAGCCACUUCUCCUCCUCCCACGCAUCGAAGGAGUGGAGAGGAAAAGCUCCUCUUGUAAAGUGCAUCAUCAAUGAAGAGGAAAUGAGCUGACCUCCUCCUUAGCUUGUAAGCUUCAUGCUUGUUAGUGGGAAGUACCUGGUCGGGAAGUACCUGGUCCUUUAGGUAGGCUACGAUGGGCUACAUCCAGGUAGGAGUCUCGGCCACCCACAUCACAUUAGAGGCCUCGGUUGAUAGUAUAAGGAGGUGCUCUAUUGGGACUACUGUAAGUAGUUCGGAGUCAUUGCUACUUGCAAGUUUGGAGAGUGCAUCCGCAUGUGCAUUUUCAAAGCGGGGGAUCUAGAUCAACUCAAACUUUUCAAAGGAUGGGAUGAGGUUCAUCACCAUUUUCAAGUAGGAGGCCAUGGUUUUGUCUCUGGCCGAGAAGUUGCCGUUCACCUGGCUAACGACCAGUUGGGAGUCACUACUGAUAAGUAGCCUCUUCACUUGCAUUUCUCUGGCUAAUCUGAGGCCCGCAAGAAGCGUCUCGUAUUCUGCCACAUUAUUGGUGGCCUUGAGCUGAGUUCAACUUGUGACCUUCCGGGCCAAUGAAGACAACUUCGGCACUUGACCUGGUAUCCCCAGCCGAUCCAUCCACGAAUAAGUUCUACGUAGGGGGCUCAGCAUGUUCCAUGAUUUCAUCCACCUUGGGUAAAUUGGCAAAUUCUGCCACAAAAUUAGUCAAGGCUUGGCCCUUGAUGGCCGUCCUAGUCUUGAACACGAGGUCAAAUUUACUUAGCUCGACCGCCCAUUUCAAUAAUCUUCCUGAGGCAUCGGGCUUUUGGAGUACCAGCCUCAGGGGAAAGUUUGUUAGCACAUGUAUGGUGUGGGCUUGGAAAUAGGGCCUCAAUUUCCUGGAAGCCAUGAUCAAGGCCAAAGUGAGCUUCUCCAUAUCGGGGUAAUGGGUUUUCGACGAUAGGAGUGCUUUACUUAUAUAGUAUACGGGGAAUUGGGUGGUGCCCUCUUCUCAGAUUAGAACCGCACUGGAAGGCUCUCCACAUUCCUCGGUCCAUCGGAACUUCUUCCCAACUUUCAACACUUUGAAAAAUGGGAGGCAUUUGUCUGUAGCUUUGGAGACAAAGCGACUAAGUGCGACCACUCGCCCAGUUAAGCUUUGUACCUCAUUUGGCUUUUGGAGGGACCUCAUCUUGCAUAGGGCCUCAAUCUUAUCAGGGUUGUCUUCAAUUCCGCGUUAGUUGACCAUGUAUCCUAAGAAUUUUUUGGAGGCAACCCCGAAAGUGCACUUGAGGGGGUUGAGCCUCAUCCUAUAGCUUCUCAAGAUUUGGAAGGUAUUGUUGAGGUGCGUUAUGUGGUCCUCAGCUUCCAAACUUUUAACAAGGAUGUCGUCUAUGUAGACCUCCAUUAUCUUGUCGACGUGGUCCACAAACAUUUUGUUGACGAGUCUUUGAUAUGUGGCCUCGACGUUUUUCAACUCGAAGGGCAUCAUCUUAUAAUAGUAAAGGCCUCUGUCUAUGAUAAAAGAGGCGUGUUCCUCAUCGGCCGGGUGCAUGGAAAUUUGGUUGUGGCCAAAGUAUGCGUCCAUAAAGCUCAACAACUCGUGCCCAGCCGUGGAGUUUACCAGUUGAUGAAUCCUUGAGAGCGGAAAGCUAUCCUUCGGGUAAGCUUGGUUGAGGUUAGUGAAAUAAAUACAUACUCUCCAUUUUUCGUUGUGUUUCUUCACUAAAAUCGGGUUGGAGACCCACCUCGGAUAGGUGGUCUCCCUGAUAAAGUCAUUUCGGAUGAGCUUAUGAACUUCUUCCUUCAGGGCCUCAUACCUCUCAGGGUUGAGAAAUCUUCUCUUUUGUUUGUACGGGGCAACCUUAGGAUCAAUUUUCAAGUGAUGGCAACUGACUUUGGGGUCUAUGCCUACCAUGUCCUCAUGCCUCCAAACAAAGACAUCAAGGUUCCUACUUAGGAAAUCCUUGAUCUUUUCUUUCAAAAUGUUGGACAAGCCUUUGCCCACUUUCAACAAUUUGGAUGGGUCUCGGGGGUCCACCGAGAAGCUCUCAAGUUCCUCAACUGGGGAUGCUUGAGGUUCGUGUUCAAUUAUGCGGAGGUCAAUCUCAUCGAUAUCAAUACUUUCGGAAUGGAUGGUGCGUCGAUCAUUUCCACAUCUUCCAGUUUUGAGGGAGCAUCACCUGGGACAUCAGCCAUGACUAUGUCAACGAUAAUCACAUGGACUUCCCGUGGCUCUACCUUUCUGAUGGAGCUUAGAUAAUACUCUCUCGAGCCUCUUUGGUCCCCUCUCACCGUUGCCACCCUGUUUUCCGUUGGGAAUUUCAUGCAUAGGUGGUGGAUGGAGGUGACAGCUCCCAAUUCCUUUAGAGCUAGCCUACCCAAUACUCCAUGGUAGGCCAAUCGACUGUAAACAAUGAGGAACUCUAUGAAGUUCAUUGUAGUUUGGGGAGACUCCCCCAUCUCCACUGCAAUGGUGAUCUUUCCUCUCGGAGUGAUACUAUCUCAGAUAAAUCCGUACAAGGGAGUGGAGGUGGGCAUCAACUCAUGGUCCAGUAUCAUCUUAUCGAAGGUAGACCCGAAUAAAAUGUUAACAAAGCUAUCGUUGUCAACUAACAUUCGUUUGAGCCCAUUUCAGGCUAUGACCGCUCUCACUACAAGUGCAUCGUAGUGAGGGUAGUGAACUCCUUCAGAGUCCUCCUGGGUGAAGAUAAUAGGUAGAACUUGAUUCCUCCGGGAGCUGUGGUCCACAAUAUAGCUGGUCAGUGGGGGUGCUUAGCCUCACGAGCGUAAUUCUUUUUAGCGUUCCACGUUUCACCACCCACAUAUAGGCCUCCAAAUAUGGUAUCCACCUCAUGGAUAGGGGCCCCAUCCUGAGUUUGCCAUUUUCUUCUAUGUCCGCCCCCUUCUCUGGGCCUUUCUGCAUCGUGCUCCCUUCAUCGCGAAAAAUAUCCCUUUGAUAGGGAGCAGCCUUUUCAUGCUCAGGUCGGUUGUCAUACCUAGGUGGGGACCUGUUCGCUUGGGCCGAUUCAUUUCUAUCCCUGGGGGUUCUUGCUGGGUACGGUGAGCAUAGUCUCGACGAUUUGCUAUGUCGUGGCCAUAGGACUAAUGGUAUAUGCAGUAUCAGGGGAGGUUCGGAUUUGACCUAUUUCUAGGUUUAGAACCCUGGCUUAGGCCUUUCCCCCUGCGGGAUCCUUACGGAGUUCCCAUCCGCUGGUGUCAGUGACUGGGUUGAUAUCCUCAUAUGCCAAGGUCGGAAUUGCGUUCAGAUUGGCGGUGGCAAGUGCUUGCGCAAAACUCUCAUUACCGGCUUGCUUCAUUUGGUAAUCUAUCAAGUGGGAGGUCAGCCUUCUAGCACGCUGUCUUUGUGGAGGUGGGAGGCUUCUACUUGCCCUGUUUCUAUGCUCAAUUAAUUCUUCAUUGAUGAUCUCCCAUCUCAUCAUCUCGAGUAGGACGUCAUAGGUGGUGGGGUCUUGAUUUUGCACAUCCCUCCAAAAUAGGGUGUUCAUGUUCAGGCCUCUUCUCAGUGUAGAUAAUGCCUCACGGUAGGUGACUUCCACACAGUACGUCAUCUCAUAGGGAUGUCAAUUGGGUCGAUCCGGCUCGCGGCUUUUCGGCUCGGCUCGGCUCGGCUCGGCUCGUGGGCUGCUCGAGCUCGUCGAGCUAGAGCCGAGCAGGGGGUCACGUUCAACGAGCCAAACGGCUUGUGCACCGAGCUCACGAGCCGAGCCCACGAGCCGGCUCGUCCAAAAAAAUGGAAAAAAUUAAAAUUUUAUCAAUAAAAUUUAAAAAAUUUGCAAAAAAAAAAUAAUUAAAAAUAAAAAUUCACGAGCUCGCGAGCCGCUUGUGGGCUCGGCUCGACUCGGCCUGGCCCACAAGCUCGUGGCUCGUGAGUACACGAGCUCGUGGGCCGAGCCGAGCUCGCCCACAAGCAACGAGCCGAGCCCGAGCUCAGCUCGUGAGAAACGAGCCACGAGCCACGAGCCCGAGCCGAGCCGGCUCGACUCGGCCCACUGCCACCCCUAUCAUUUCAUCAAUGAAGCAUGAUAGGAAGCUCUUCAGGGACUCCCCAUAUGCCUGUCUCAUAACUUUGAGACGUUGGACGAGAGCCUCUCCCUCUUUGCUCACAGCGAACCUCUUCAAGAAUGUGGUCUUGAAUUCGGGCCAACUUCUUAUACUCUCAGAUGGUAACCUACUAUACCAAAUUUCAGCUGCUCCGUUAAGUGUUAAGUGAAAAGCUCUGCACUUCACAACUAGGGUGGCGCCCCUUAGGCUCAUGUGAGUUUUGUAAGCAUUCAGGUGCUUUUCUGGGUCGCCUCUUCCAUCAUACUUUGGUAUCUUGGGCAAACGUAGUGGUCAGGGACGUGGGCACUCCUUAGUUCCCUUGAGAAUGAUAGGUUUUCAUCAUCAUCAUCCAAGUCACAGGACCUCUGCCACUCAUCUGAAUCAUUUUCAUCAACCUCAUACCUUGGUGGUUGGUGAGAGGUGUCAAGACUAUUCCUAGCCUCCUUUUCCCUCCUUUGGUGCCUAUUUCUAGGCGGUGCAGCACGGAGGGCAUUUUCAUGCCUUUCUUCCGGCUGCUGAGGCAUUGGAGGUGGGGACUGUAGCCUUGUCCAAGGCUCGUGAGGCUAUUGUCGCCUAGGUCUCAGUUAUGCAGGACUGAUUCUGUCAAAUACAUUACCUGACCUCCUAUGUCUUCGCUCUUGCUCAUAUAGAGGUGGAAAAUUAUCAUGGUUCAAAGGGACCUUGGUGGGUCACCGAGAAGCAUAGUUGGAAAAAACAUCAAUUUCCAUUUCCCUUUCAAAUGGGCUUCUACCUCGACUAUAGUCCGGCGAGGCAACCCUCUGACUUUGAAUUUCAUCUUCUUGCUGGUGUGCCCUUGGGGGGCGUAUGGAGGAAUAGGGAAGCCUCACUGACCUUGCAUUUGGGCCAUGAGUUCCCUCAUAGCCAUGUUCUAGCUAGCAAUGUCCCUCAUGUUGGCUGCCAUGGCGGCCAUUUCUCUUGGUAGCCAGGUUAUCACUCGCAUUCCACCUCUUCUAUGGUGGUGGUGGAGUCGGUGCCGAGCUGCUGGGGCAGCUGCUGGAGGAGGCACAUCUGCGUUUUCUCUUACCCUCCUAGGGUGUAUCUUCGUUUGAACUCAUUUUCUUUGUUUGACCUUCAGAUUUUUGUGAAGUAGUAGGGCUUCCUCUUGUUCUUUUUCAAGAACAAAUCAUUUUUUAAGGGGGAUGCCCAAAUGUUCCUCUUCAAUAAGCUUUCACCACAAGGUUGUUCAAGGUUAUUAUAUGGAUUCCCAUAGACGAUGCAAUCUGUUGACCCAAAAAAUGUUUCCAACAGAUGUCGGACCCAUCCGUGCACACGUGAGCGAAAGUCCAACAUGCUAAGACACGUGGAUGGUCUAAAACGGACAGAUCAAGGGCGUAGGAGUAGCUCAACGGCACGGGACGAGAACGUUCGAAAUCCGACGGGAUGUUCGUAGAUCGAUUGUACAAUAAUUACCAAUUGAUGUUUGUAAAUGUGUAUCUAAAUAUGUAUGAACUCGUUUGUGUUGCAAGAUAAUAAGAAAGAGAGAGUUGAGUAAAGUAUGGUUUAUUGUAUUGAUUCUUGCAUUAGCCUUUGUAUGGGGUACAUGGGGGAGUAUUUAUUGUUGACCCCAAAAAAUGUUGCCAACAGAUGUCGGACCCACCUGUGCACACUUGAGCGAAAGUCCAACACGCUAAGACGCAUGGACGAUCUAAAACGGACAGAUCAAGGGCGUGAAAGUAGCUCAACUGUGCGGGAUGAGAACGUUCGGAAUCCGACGGGAUGUUCGUAGAUCGAUUGUACAAUAAUUACCAAUCGAUGUUUGUAAAUGUGUAUCUAAAUAUGUAUGAACUCAUUUGUGUUGCAAGAUAAUAAGAAAAGAGAGUUGAGUAAAGUAUGGUUUAUUGAUUGAUUCUUACAUUAGCCUUUGUAUGGUAGUAUUUAUAGCGUCACAAGUUAGAUCGUGGCCUUAGGUUUGGAGUACACGUGGCUUCAUCCGGUUAAUUUACAUGUCAAAUUGUAGGCAUCAGCCGCACCUAGCCUGCUAUACAUUUAUUGAUUUGCACAGCCGCCUUUACUAGUGACAAGACUUAACAUUUACACUCAUGACAAACGUCCUAUCAAUCAUUCAAGUAAGAUCUUUGUGCAGAGGAUCUCUUAGGAGAAAUGUCUAUGGAAGAUGCUACUUUGCGACUUGGAGGCUGCUACCUCGGCUACAGAGCUUCGCCCAAUAGGGCCUCGUCCACCUUCAAAGGACCUCGGCAUAUGUGCUUCGGAAGCUCCUCAAGAGGCAAUGAUAGAUGGACCUCGGUAUAUAUGGGCCUAGGCUUCUGUGAACCUUGAUUUGUGGGCCUCGGCUAUGCAAAUCACCUUGACUUGAGUACCACAUAGUUCGGCAUGAGUUAGCUGUGGGCCCCGGUGGGUUGUCCAAGUGUGCAAACACGUAACAUUUAUAAUGUCACAAGUUAGAUCGUGACCUUUGGUUCGGGGUACACGUGGCCUCAUCAAUUAAUUUACAUGUCAAAUUGUAGGCAUCAGCCGCACCUAGCCUGCUAUACAUUUAUUGAUUGGCAGAGCCGCCUCUACUAGUGACAAAGCUUAACAUUUACACUCAUGAAGACGUCGUAUCAAUCAUUUAAGUAAGAUCUUUGUACAGAGGAUUUCUUGGGAGAAGUGUCUAUAGAAGAUGCUGCUUUGUGAUUCGGAGGCUGCUAUCUCGGCUACAGAACUUCUGCCAACAAGGCCUCGUCCACCUUCAAAGGACCUCGGCAUAUGGGCUUCGAAAGCUCCUCAAGAGGUAAUGAUAUAUGGGCCUAGGCUUCUGUGAACCUCGAUUUGUGGGCCCCGGCUAUGCAAAUCACCUCGACUUGAGUGCCACGUGGUUCGGCAUGAGUUGGCUGUGGGCCCGGUGGGUUGCCCAAAUGUGCAAACACAUAACACUAUAGAUAAAUAUACUGAAAAUGAAAUUCUAAAAUUGUGCUCUUAUCCGCAAAUCGUGGUUCUCAUGCAAGUCUUGCUACCAAGUAUGAUUUGAUUAAGUGCUUGUUUGGUAGGGAUUUUGUUAAUUGAUUUUUUGAUCGUUAGAGAUAAAGUGGGUCCUACCUAUGAAAGAAGAAUUCAAAAAUGACGGCUGGAAUAGUGAAAUAAUGGUAAAAAAAUUGAUUUUAAUUGACUUUUAAUCACUACCAAACAUGCUCUAAGUCAAAUCCUUGGAUUAAUUAGUAAAUUUUAUAUACUUUUAUAACAUUAUAUUCAAAGUAGGAGUUUCUUGGAUCAAUCCUCAUCAUGCUACCUAGUAUAAGUAAUUAUGUUAAAGACUUAAAUCUCUAUUUCUUUAUAAGUGAUUAAGUGAGACUUCAACAAUGGUUCUAAUUACCAAAUUAACCCUACGACCGCUAUAUAUAUCAUUCAUCAUUUACUCUUCCUCACAAGCAAUAAAAAUCUCACAACAUACAUAUACAGUACUAGAAAUGGCUAAAUCUCAAGUUUCCUACACCAUUUUCUUUGCCCUUCUCAUCUGCUUCCUCCUUGUAGCAUCCAAUGGUAAAAAAACCUUUGUUUGUUUAUUUCAAAAUAAAUUUUGUUACAAUUUUUACUGAGCAAGACAUGUUUAGUAGCAGGCAGCAAAUGCACAUUAAGCGCUUCAUUAAUAUAGUUUUUUUUUUCCCUUUUAGGGACGAAUAUUUGACAUCACUUCAACGUAGAAAAGGAGGUUAAAAUUUAUACUAUGUAGGCGUGUUCAGUAUCGAGCCCUUGUGUGGCUCCUUUUUUAAAAAAAUGCAUUUCGUUCAAAACUUUUACGUAAAAUAAUGGUACAUAUAAACUCAAAAUUUUUAUUUACACAUUCUCCAAAAAGUUACUAUUUUAAAACACAUUUUACUCCAAAAUCUCAUUUUAAUGGAGCAUAAACAUGGGCCGACUUUGCAAUGAUAAUUGAAGCACUUUUUUUGUGCUAAGAAAACAAGAUGACAUAAUUCCAGCAUGCCUUCAAGCAACUCAAAUGUUGGUAAAUAAACUUCACUAAUAUAUAUACCUUCUUUUGUUUCUCUCUCUAUAUAAAUAUAUAUGCAGAGAUGCAGAUGGCUGAAGCUAAAGUUUGUUCGAGGCUGAGCAAGACAUGGUCUGGAUUAUGCCUGAACUCCGGAAACUGCAACCAGCAGUGCAGGAACUGGGAGGGGGCUCUGCAUGGAGCUUGUCACAAAAGGGGCUGGGGAUUCGCUUGCUUUUGCUACCUGAAAUGCUGAGAUUAAUCAUGUCAACAUGCUGUCUUCUUAAUCACAUGAAUGAAUAAAUAGUUGCUAUUCGGUCAGCAACUAUAUAUGUAUCGAAAUCACUGAAGUACCAAUGUGUCUGUGUUUGUGUCUGUUACUACUUAAGGCCUUCAGCUUCAUAAUAUAAUUAUCAAUAUUAACAACCAGGAUUUAGUGUUCGAAUGUUUGAUUUAGCCACAAACUGCAAAAUACUAAUGAUCCGCAAGACUGUAUAGAUUUGCAUAGGACAUUAACUUAAUUGGGAGCGCUUAUUUUUCACAAAUAAUUGAUUUUUUGACCAUUGAAAUGGGCCCACUUCUGUCACAUCUUACACGCCCACUAUAAUUGACAAGUAAAAUUUGAUUGCACUUUGCCAACUGCCAUUUUUGCCAUUCAUUGCUGGGCAAAUAUAAAAUCACUAAGGAACAAUCGUGUCAUUUUGCUAGAAAUGUAGAGGGUAAAACAGUCCCAUAAAUAAAAUGCACUCAUAUCCUACUACACCAAUCAAAUGGUCACUGCAUUUAGUGAAUUAUUUUAUUAAGAAAAUUUUGACCAAUCUAUCAAAAUCUGAUAGAAUUGGAAUUAAAAACGCUCCCUAGACACAGGCAUAAUAUGUAUAUAUAUGUGUUUGCUGUGUGGAUGUGUACUUAUAUGCAUUGAAUUCAGUUAAGUCUAAUUAAAAUGAUCUAAUAAGACUUUGAUUUUGAGAUUUAAUGUAUCCAAUUAAAGUAUGGGUUUAUAAAUGUGUAGAAACAGGGCUCAAGUUCUAAUUCUAUGAUGAGCCGAAUUAGGUCAAAGGUCAUCGCUAUAUAAAUAUGGUUAUGGUCCCCAGAUCACACGUACGUAUUAUUCAUUCUCUUCUGCAUCUCAUCACAAAAAGAAAAAGGAGACUGCGUAUAGAUUUGGAAGACAAGACCGCAUAAUUCAUUAUUGCAUUAAUCAUGUCUGAUUCAGGUACGCUUCCACCAUAGUUCUUCAAUUUCUUGAUGAUUUAAUAUGAAAGAUCAGGUGAUUUAAAGCAAUAAAUUAUUCUUACAUAAACAAGAACUUUGUGUUUGUGUAUGUAUACAUGUAUUUACAGAUUAUCUACUCUCUAUUUAAGGAUCCUCCAUUUUAGCUCUCCAAUAUUCUAACUUGAUAAGAAUUACUAUGGGUAAAUAAUUAAGCGAGAAAAGUAAAAGUUGAAGGUUUCCAUUGAUCUAAGAGAGUGCAUGAGCCUGUGAACAAAAUGUACGAGUUAAAUAAACAUAAUUUAUGCAAGUCACAAAAUAUCGUGUGUCUGCAUGUGCAUAUUCAAGCAGUCCACUAGACUUCAAGAAAAGUCAAGAAAAAAGAGACUGGUACGUUGAAGGAUGCUCAAUCGUGCUCCUGAUCAAAUUAAAGUCAUAUACAUAUUCGACCAUAAUGUGAUGCGAUAGAUCUAUCUAAAGAGAUGCCAAAAUGGUGUAUGGAUUGAUUCCAUCUGAUUGAGACCUAUACUCAAACAAUGUCAAAGUCUAAUUAUCACCCCAAAUCUCAUUUAAUGCGGCCUUAGGGGAAUGUUUAAUGCAAAGCUCAUGUAUGAAUGAGCUAGGUUGCACAUAAACUUCUAAAAUGAUAGCUGGUGUAUCUCAUUAGAUGGAACGAGGAUGGAAAAUAACUUAAGAAGAAAUGAAAAUUUCGAAGGUUUCCACUGAUCUAAGAAAUGCAUGAGCCAAUGACAAAAUUGUGCGAGUUAAACAAAUAUACGUAUAUCCGUCACAAAUUGAGCCACCUACAAGAAAAUUCAAGUGAUUCACUAGUCAAGGAAAAAGAGGCCUCAAGGCUGCUCCCAAUCAAAGUUAUACUCGACCACAAUAUUAUGCUAUACAUCUAGUAGAUAUGCCAAAAUGACAUUUGUAUCGAGUCUAUGUCAUGAGACUAUACUCUACUCAACUCACGUCAAAGUCUAAUAUCAAUUCAAAUCUCAUUAAUUCAACAUGUUGGCUACAAUAUAUUUAAUGAUAAGUAGAGUCUCGACUCAAUCUUCGUGGAGAGGGAGAGAGAGAGAGAUGCCAAUAUCAUGGUUUGGACGGAAAGUGGUAUUUGCAAAAGAAUUUUCAUCUGCCAAGAUGUUAUGAGCAUCUGUGUAGAUACUUUUCCAUAACCAAAUUUGGCCCUUUGAGUGACUUGAAAGUUCUAUUGGCCCUUCAAAAAAGUUUCUUUGAAUUAGGGCAGAAGAGAAUAUCACUAGAGUGCGCAUUAAAAUCUCAACCUAUAAAUACACAUAUAUAGAGUGGGUAAAGAGCAACACAUGAAGCAAGUACUCCCCUUCAUAUUUCUUGAUGAUUUUGUCUAAGAAUCUUGCAUGAAUAAGUAGGGAGUGGAUUGCAGCCAAGGAUGACUUGCCGACAUUUCCAUCUCUUUGUAGAAACAUCGCUCGUUGUUCUUGAUCGGCAAGUUGUCUUUGGCUACAUUUUGCUCCCUUCUUCUCAUGCCAGCCUCUUGACAUCUAGGCUACCAUUCACAAAAAAAGAUCAGAAAUAAGUAUUAGUAAAUAAUGAUAAUAUUGAUAGGAUUUUCAUUUUUAAUUCCCCCUGUCCAAAAAUAGAAAGAAAUUGAAGGAGUUCUUAUCGUGGUGGAGGAUUACACGUACUCAAACGUUAUGCACCAAGCAAUACAGGUAGUUAACAAGAACUUUGCUAUUUGUACAUUGAUUUGCAUUAUUGUCAAGUAUCAAUUGGAUGAAAAAACUAUUUAAAAUUUAAAUUAUUCAAUAGGGUAUUGUUAUGUGACAAAGUGUAAACUAAAGUGUAUACCAUAGUGUACAUGUAGCAAUAUUCAGCUAACAAUUAUCUUACAAGGGUUAAUACAAUUCCUCUUCACAAUACUCAAGUGUCAAGAUUUUCCCUUUAGCUUCUCUGCCAUUAUAUUAGAUGAAAGGGGAAAAAAUAAAAUAAAUUACUAAUUAUAUAUCAAGGAAAUAAAAUAAAUAGAUGGGAUGAGUUUAUUAUAAAAAGAGUACAUAUUAGAAUGCUAGGGUAGAAAUAAAUUUAUUUUGAUCUAAUUGCUUCCAACAUUACGAUAUUAGUCUAAUAAUCACUAAUUCGAUAUGUAAUAUAUUGUCGAGUGCAUUUAAUUCUAUUUAUGAAAUCAAGCAUACGUCUAUGUUAUGUAUAUUUUAUUUCCUUUUUUUUUUUUUUUUAAACUUUAGAAAACUCACGAGCUCAUCAAAUUUUAUUAAGCCCCAGUUUGGCCCCCAUUAUUUCUCAUUAAAUUAAAAAAAAAUUUCUCUUCUAUUUUUAACCACACAAUUUUCAAUAAAAUAAUAUUAUAUGUAAAUCAGAAACUUUUCUUUUCUUUUCUUUUCAACUACUUUAUUUCAAAAAAACACUAUACAAAAUAUUAUAAUCGCCAAAUAAUGGGGCUCAAACGGGAGCUAAAUUUUAACCAUCUUGUCACUUGUACGUUUUAGCAGUUGUAUCUUCCUACACAUCUGCUUUUUCUUUUGUCAAACUAAUAUAAAAGAAUAAGGAGCGACAAAUUUCAACAUAAUUUUCUUCUUAAAAAAUCAGUUAACUUUCAGUACUUUGAACACUACUAAUUACUAUAUAAAGUGAAAAAUUUUGAUCUUGGAAACUAUCAUAGACUCUUGAUCUUAUUUUGCAAUAAUUCUAGGACUUGGAUAGAUUCCGUCCUGCAGGUGCCCAUGAAUAUAUCUCAGAAGGUAACGUACCAUUUGUUAGCAAAUUUUGUUGCACCCCAUAUAUCUCAGAGACAUCAAUCCGGUGGCGCCGCCUUUUGUUUUGGUACUGCUGGUUAUGAUUGGCAGCGGCCGCGGCGGCAACAAUUUCAUUAUCCUCUAAUGGGAAGUGAUCAAAAGUGGCAUUCAUGAAAGUAGCAGCCAUAAUAACUACAGGGCCUGAAGCAAUGAGAGCACCAACCACACUCCCUCCUACAACCUGCCCUUGAGCCCCGGCCAGGUAUACUGUAAUACCGGCAGCCACUCCCGGCGGUUCUGGUGGCGGCAGAAUUGAACCGAGCAACGAGAGAAUCUCGAAUCGGCCAUGGAGAGUGAUGACUGAUCCCGAUGAAGCUGGCUGUCGGACGGUGACAUUGGUGGCGCAACCCGUCGCGUUAAGUACGCAUAGGCCACGCUGUUUCCGCUGGGAAAAGUUUAUUAAGGUUUCAUUAAUAUCGCAGCCGGAGUUUACUUCUAUUGCAUAUACUCUUAGUGCAUUAGCACUUUCACUGGUGAUGAUAAUCGGUGGUCUAGGUUUGUUCUUGGAGCCAGCUGGCCUUCCGCGAGGGCGGCGGAGGGAUUCUCCCUCCGGCGUGCGCUGUAGCGCCACUAGCAAACUACCUUUUGCAUCAAC
RNAcentral lists this long non-coding RNA (27333 nucleotides) under Olea europaea (common olive). Lineage: Eukaryota; Viridiplantae; Streptophyta; Magnoliopsida; Lamiales; Oleaceae. The record is from RNAcentral.